Oncorhynchus kisutch (coho salmon) is the source of this 1476-nucleotide long non-coding RNA. RefSeq lists it as uncharacterized. The transcript has 3 exons. The record is from RefSeq and is a predicted model, not a curated record. NCBI's taxonomy places the organism in Eukaryota, Metazoa, Chordata, Actinopteri, Salmoniformes, Salmonidae.
CCACUCCUUCUUCUAUUCUUGAUGAAAGAGCCACUGGCCCCUUCUCUUUAUAACAGCGCCAUCUGCCGGACUUUAUAGCGACCAUAGCAAGGAGCUGUGACUGCAACAGAACAGCUAGUUGUUUGUUUUUGCACAUCACUUGGAAUAUGCGUUGCUAAGCGACAGCAUCAGGACCAGGGGUGAGGAGAGAGAGCAUGCAUGCAGCAACAGAGGAUGCAAGGCCGUAAUUUUGGGCAACCCAUGUCAUCGAUGGCCAGCCAGCGUAUACGGUGAGACGCAUCCUGAGAGUUCGACCACGGGGCAGGAGUUUCCGGUACCUGGUUAACUGGGAGGGUUACAGUCCGGAGGAGAGGUGCUGGGUUCCCGCUAAAGACAUCCUGGACCCGGCCCUCAUCGCCGACUUUCACCGCCGGCACCCUGGGGGCGGGGGGGGGGUAUUUAUUCCGGUGUUUUCUGUCUGUCUGUGUCGGUUUGUCUUGUUUGUUCAAGUCAAUCAGCAUUUUGUCUCAGCUACUGUUUUUCCCCAGUCUCUCUUUUUCUCGUCCUCCUGGUUUUUGACCCUUGACUGUCCUGGCCCUGUAUCCACCCGCCUGCCUGACCCUGAGCCUGCCUGCCGUCCUGUACCUUUCCUCCACUUCUGGAUUACCGACCCCCUGCCUGACCCUGAGCCUGCCUGCCGUCCUGUACCUUGACCUCUACUCUGGAUUACCGACCCCCUGCCUGACCCUGAGCCUGCCUGCCGUCCUGUACCUUGACCUCUACUCUGGAUUACAGACCCCCUGCCUGACCCUGAGCCUGCCUGCCGUCCUGUACCUUGACCUCUACUCUGGAUUUACCGACCCCCUGCCUGACCCUGAGCCUGCCUGUCAUCCUGUACCUUUGCUCCACUUCUGGAUUACCGACCCCCUGCCUGACCCUGAGCCUGCCUGCCGUCCUGUACCUUGACCUCUACUCUGGAUUACCGACCCCCUGCCUGACCCUGAGCCUGCCUGCCGUCCUGUACCUUGACCUCUACUCUGGAUUACCGACCCCCUGCCUGACCCUGAGCCUGCCUGCCGUCCUGUACCUUGACCUCUACUCUGGAUUACCGACCCCUUGCCUGACCCUGAGCCUGCCUGCCGUCCUGUACCUUGACCUCUACUCUGGAUUACCGACCCCCUGCCUGACCCUGAGCCUGCCUGCCGUCCUGUACCUUGACCUCUACUCUGGAUUACCGACCCCCUGCCUGACCCUGAGCCUGCCUGCCGUCCUGUACCUUGACCUCUACUCUGGAUUACCUGCCUCGACCUGCCGUUUGCCUGCCCCUGUUGUUACUAUAAACAUUGUUACAUCACACAGUCUGGACCUGGGUCUUACCUUGAUUCCUGAUAUAAACAUUAAACUCCAAAUGAAUAAAGACAUUUCAAAUGUCAUAUUAUGUGAAAAUAGUUCAAAUACAAAAAGGAAUAAAUAAACAUAAAUAUGGGUUUGUAUUUA